UACGUAGGGUGCGAGCGUUGUCCGGAAUUAUUGGGCGUAAAGGGCUCGUAGGCGGUCUGUUGCGUCGGGAGUGAAAACUCAGGGCUUAACCCUGAGCCUGCUUCCGAUACGGGCAGACUAGAGGUAUGCAGGGGAGAACGGAAUUCCUGGUGUAGCGGUGAAAUGCGCAGAUAUCAGGAGGAACACCGGUGGCGAAGGCGGUUCUCUGGGCAGUAACUGACGCUGAGGAGCGAAAGCGUGGGGAGCAAACAGG
Molecule: ribosomal RNA, 253 nt
Filed under: uncultured bacterium
Lineage: Bacteria
Description: partial 16S ribosomal RNA
Rfam family: Bacterial small subunit ribosomal RNA
Source: RNAcentral